Molecule: unclassified non-coding RNA, 536 nt
Filed under: Hevea brasiliensis (rubber tree)
Lineage: Eukaryota; Viridiplantae; Streptophyta; Magnoliopsida; Malpighiales; Euphorbiaceae
Source: RNAcentral
AGAAUAAACUUGCACCUAAACUUUCUGCUGCGAAUCAGCACCGUUAGUCGCAAGCAUAUUUAUCCACACGUUUGGUCAAUGGUAACUUCGCCCCCAAUUGACGAACUGAGGGAAUCAACCUCAAUUAGUUUACUUGGUGUCUAUGAUGUAGGAUAUAUUUGACAACUUCAUAAAAGGAAACAACAAUCCCAACAGAAGGACCAGCACGAGCAACACGGGGCCCGAUUCCUGUGAACAGUCCCUUCACCCCACCAUCCCUCCAGAUUUCUCGUAAUGUUUGUCUUGUAGUCAUAUUUAAUGCCCUGGAUGGAUCCUUCUCUAUCUGCCUUCUGGUCCUUGCAACAUCUAAUGGGCACGUAGCAGCAGCUGCCAGAGUUCCUGCAACAAAACCAGCAGAAAAGUUUGCCCCAAGGACACUGGCUACCGUGGCUUCAUCAGCCACAAGAUCAUGAAUUCCUUUCCUGAUAGGCUCAAGGGUUGACCAGCAUAUUGCAGAGAAGGGAACAUCACGAGAAAGUUGUGCUCCAAGGCCAGUC